RNAcentral lists this long non-coding RNA (3298 nucleotides) under Citrus x clementina. RNAcentral describes it as "Citrus clementina (C. clementina) long non-coding RNA (CCLE_LNC003912)". Lineage: Eukaryota; Viridiplantae; Streptophyta; Magnoliopsida; Sapindales; Rutaceae. The record is from RNAcentral.
UUUGUAGACGGAAAUAACUAAAAAAAAAUUAAAAUUAUUGGCGCGAAAAGCACAAACCCUAUUUUUUGACAAUUGUAUCAUUGUCAAUUCCAAAGAUUUACAAUAUCAUAGGUAAAGAUUAUAACUAUUUCAUUUUCAAGUUUUUAAUUUUAUCUUUUUUAUAGGAACUUUAAGAAAAUAUUAAUAAUUUAAAGAGAAUUUUUUAAUUUUUUAAUUUUAUCUUUCUUGUAGGAACUUUAAGAAAAUAUUAAUAAUUUAAAGAGGGUAAAAUAGCCAACAAUUUUAAUUUUUUUUAGUUAUUUCCGUCUAUAAAUCGUUAUUAAGGGUAAUAUUGUCUUUGCACAGUCAACUAACGGUCAAUAUUAAAGUUAACUAACGGUAGGGGGUUUUGUACAAAUAAACAAAUUCUCGCCAUCUACUUGCAAUAAGCCCAAACCUCAGGGGAGGUUUUUAAAAAUUACCCCUUUUUUUUUAAUACUGUUGUACUGAACUGUUAAUAAUAUUACAUCAGCUAUUACAAUUAAUAUUUACAAACAGAUUAUAUAAAUGAAACUUUUUUUGUGGUGUGUACUCCUCUAAAGCACUGCUCAAAUUUUUUAAAUCCUCUAUAAUAUUCGAUGGAUGUCCACUCCACUCACAUUUCGUGAGGGAUAGACCGGCUCUACUCAAUUAUUUGAUAAUUGAGGAAUGACUGAAAUUAAUCUCAUAAUACUUUUAUGGAAGUUCUAACCCUUACACUCAACAUUAUAAGUGUAAGAAUUCUUUUAGUGACCAAAGACUCAUUGGCCUUGCUCAAACCUUUUUGAAAGGUAGAAUUUUCUUCUCUUUAAUUAAUGGUUCACAUGAUAUGUGUGAAUUUUUACUUUUAAUACUAUAGUACAAUAUAUUAAUUAUAGAAUCAAAAUGUCUAGAUAGUUCAAUUAUAGCAUAAUUAAUUUGAAUAGCUAGAACCUUAAACCAUGUUUGGAGAUGGUGGAUAUGUACAUAAAUUGUUCUACACUAACAUAGUCUAGAUAUAAAUAGGAACAAUUUACAACUCAGACUCAUAUCACACACAUCUCGUUCUUUAGCUACUAAAGGACAAUUAAUUGAUAACUAUACACAAAAAAAAGGAAGGAAAAGAAGAGUAUUACAACUCUUUUUUUUUUUUAAUUCUGUUAUACACAGGUUGUUACUGAUAUUAUAUCAGACAUUACAAUUACAAUAUUUACAAUCGUACUGAAUAACUGGGACCACCGCCAUACAAACAUUAACCUACUGAAACACUUGUUCAGAUACUUUAAACCCUCUCUAAUAUUCGAGGGGUGCCUACUCCACUCACAUUUCGUAAGAGAGAAACUGUCUCCACUCAAUUAAUUGAUAAUUGAGGGAGUAUUAAAACUAACUUUUAUAAUGCUCUUAUGUAGGCUCGAACUCUUUCACUCAACAUUGUAAGUGCAAGGUUUCUCCCAUUGGAUCAAAACCCAUUGGUAGAAGAGUAUUACAACUAGAUUCCUCAAGACAAGCUAAGUCAAAUUCAAUAAUGGCCAAUAAAACAGUCUGGUGGCUUAAUUUGAACAUGGGAAAGAGAGGGAUGAAGAUUGAAGCUAACCUUUCUUUCUCAAUGUCGCCUUCCGAAUAGCAAGCCAUUACGUGCGGAACUGAUAUUUCAUUGAAGAACACAUUUAACUGUACUAUUGCUUUGCUAGCAUUGUUCCUUUUUGGUAAUUAAGUGGUCCAGAGUAAUGCAUGGUUUUUAUGAACCCGAAAGUUAUACAUAUUGGUGAAAACGUUUAAUAGAAACUAAGCCAUGCAUCGAGGUAGAGAUGGCAAAACCCCGGGUCGGGUCCGGGUAUUGCCAUGACCGGACCCUGCCCGGAUGCAACCGGUCCGGGUCCGGGUCCGGGCCGGGUUUUAAUUCGGGUACCCGGAUUUUAUAUUUUUUAAUAUUUUAUGUGUAUAUAUUUUUUGAUAAUUUUAUAAGUUUUAAAUUUAUUUCAAUAAAAUUUGACAUGAAAAUAUAAAUUUAUAUGUAUAAUAAAUAAGUCAAAUAAAUAUAAAAUAUUUAAAAUAAUAUAUAUUUUAUAAUUUUUUUUAAUAAAAUUCGGGUUCCGAGUUUAUCAAGUGAUGCCCAAGACCGACCCGGCUUCAUAAUACCCGGCCUGCAACGCCCGGGUCCGAACCGGACGGGUAUUUUUGCCAUUUCUACAUCGAGGUUAUCAGAAUACCCCAGUGAUUAUUAUUAUUAUUAUUAUUAUUUGGAGAAAGUGAACCAAUGGGCAGAUUCUAAAACUUUUUGGGGAAUCAGAGAUAAGAGUUUAAUAUUAUGAUAUUAUCCCUUUGCUAGUUCACGAAAUUAACUAGGGCCGUGUGCCACUAAACUGAAGUACUAAAAUUUCAAAAAUACCGCCCAUUUUCUUUCUCUCUCUCACAAGCCAGCUCUCACCUGAUGGCUGUCUCUGCGUGAUGGGGAAUUGGGGAUUGUAAUCUAGUUUCUCUAAGGCAAUAAUUUGUCAUGAUUCAUUCGGCUGGGAUCUAUGGCAUGUUUGGCAACCCAGGUUCAAUAAAUGGAACAUGUUGUAUUCCAGAUAUGGAUCGUCAAUCAUAUUUAACUUGAUUGACUUAGUUGUAUUCCUUAUAUCAUAUGCCCAUCAGGGGGUAACUGAUUGAUUCUGCUCCUUAUUUCGAAGGAAAUUUCAUCCAAAUUGACUUAGUCAAAAUGGGCCCAAACAUGUGCUAUCAUAAGGUUAAUUCGGGAUAUGUUAUAAUAAAAUUAAUUCAGGACGUGUCCGGUCAGAUAUCCAGCUAUAUGUUAUCAAUACACAAAAAUAACAAUAAUAAUUAAAAUUAAAAUUCUUACGAUAGUUAAUAAUAGAUACUUCUGAAGAUACAUAGUUCCAGUGUUUCACUAUAAUUAGAGGCCGUAACCUACUAGGCUUUUGAGCUUGAAUUAGUGAAUUGUAGAUUUUGAUACAUUUUCGCACAAGCAUAUGAAUUGUUAAGGAAACAAUUGCUUUUACUUCCCCAUGAAGGAAUAAAAAUCAAAACAAGUUGUUUAAACGGUAUGAAUUAAAAUAAGAAUGAGUGGUAUUAAUUUGUUUACUUUAUUUUGUAAUUAAAAUAUAUUGUUAAAAGUUACCAAAAUGCCGUAAGUUAAAAUUAUGUAUAUUUUACUAACAAAACAAAUAAGUAAACAUUUUUCGAAGAAAAAUAUAUGCAUGUUUAUUGUAAGAUUGAGCGUAACACUAUUAUUUUUAGAAUGAACUAAUUGUUAUUGAUGUUGUUAAUAAUAAUUACUAUAUUAUUGUUGUUGUUGUUA